GUACUAUUGCGGCCGCCCUCUGCUGCGCCUGAAGAGAGAGGCGACUCUACAAGCCUCACAGCAUGCACUGUUACUAAAAAGACGAUGCGUCCUCCUGGACCUGAGAUCUGUGUGAUCGUGGGAAAGCGACGAAAAACGAACAAAGGAACAGUAAAUGGAGUAACUUGGCUAGAAUAUGGCAGUAACUACAAGGCAUGUUCUGCUCUGGCACGAAGACAACCCACCUGAGGCACCAGACACAUGAGUGAAGCCAUCUUGGACAUCCCAGUCACAGCCAAACUCACUCCUGAGUGCAUCUGCAUGAUGAACCCAGCAAUCCCCACCAUGGAGCAAAGGAUCCAUCCAGUCAACCCAAAGAAUCGUGAAAAAUAAUAAAUUGUUGUUUUAAAGUUCUUCAGUUUGGGAAUAGCUUGUUAUGCAACAAUACAUAAUUAAUACACUGGUCUCCCACUUUCAAGUUUGAUUAACUUUCAGCUAUUUUUCACAUAGCAGGCAGAGUGAUUCCAUUAAAACAUAUAUCAGAUAAUGUCACUGCACUAAGUAAACUCUACAAGGACUCUCAUCUCCCUCAGAGUAAAGGUCACAGUUGUUACAAGGCCCUACGUAAUGUGGCCCUCACCACCACUCCAUUACCUUUUUCUUAUCUACUAUUUGCUAACUUUGCUUUGUCCUCUUUUCUGUUCUGAAACAGGCUAGGCAUGGUCCUGCCUCAAGGCCUUUGCACCACCUACUCUGUCUGCUUGGAUUGUUCUUCCCACAGAUUUCUUGCUCCCUUCUUCCUUCAUGAAGAAAUGUCAUGAAAUGUCCUUCCUUCAUGAAAUGUCACCUUCUCAUUUGAGGCCUUCUGUAGUACCCCAAAGAAUGGUCCCCAAAGAUGUCCACAUCCUUAUGCCCAGAACCUGUGAAUGUGUUAUCUUAAUGGCAAAAGUGACUUUGCAAAUGUGAUUAUAUUUAAGGAUCUUAAGGAGGAGAUUAUCCUGGAUUAUCCAGGAGGGCCCAAUGUAAUCACAAGGGCCCUUAUAAGUGAAAGGGGGAGGCAACAGAGAGAAGGAGAUGUCAUAAUGAAAACAGAUCCAAGUGAUGAGAUUGCUGGCUGGGGUGGAGGUGGAGGGGGGUACAAUCCAAGGAAUGCAAGAAGCCUCUAAAAGCUAGGAAAUGUCAGGACACAAAUUCUCCCCUAGAACCUGAGGAAGAAACCCAGGUUUAUGGACACUGAUUUUAACCCAAUAAGUCCCUUUUCUGACUGCUGACCUCCAAAACUGUAAGAUAAUAAAUUUGUGUUAUUUUAAGCCAACUGAGUUUGAGAUAAUUUAGUUAUGGCAGCAAUAGGAAACUAGCACACCUUCCUAGCCAUCCUAUCUAAAAUGGCAACCCAUGUCCUUCCUGGCACUUCCUAUCUCCCUUCCAUGUUUUUUUUAAAUCAUAUAUACAAUAUAUUUUACUGUUUUACCUAUUGUCUUUUCCACCAGAAAGUAAACUCCACGUAAAUAAGGAUUGUCUGUUUUAUUCUUUGCAGUAUCUCCACUGCCUAGGAUAGCAUCUGCACAUACUGCACACUCAGUACACAUUUGUCGAAUGAGUCACUGCCCCCGGCUGCAAAUAUAUC
This 1606-nucleotide long non-coding RNA is filed under the name Homo sapiens (human). RNAcentral's name for it is "non-protein coding lnc-EGLN1-1:14". The record is from RNAcentral. Lineage: Eukaryota; Metazoa; Chordata; Mammalia; Primates; Hominidae.